RNAcentral lists this ribosomal RNA (325 nucleotides) under uncultured eukaryote. Its description in RNAcentral is "partial 18S ribosomal RNA". It matches the Rfam family "Eukaryotic small subunit ribosomal RNA", at positions 1470 to 1796 of the family's 1831-position model. The record is from RNAcentral.
CCCUUAGAUGUUCUGGGCCGCACGCGCGCUACACUGAUGCAUUCAACGAGCCUAUCCUUGACCGACAGGUCCGGGUAAUCUUUGAAUCUGCAUCGUGACGGGGAUAGAUUAUUGCAAUUAUUAAUAUUCAACGAGGAAUGCCUAGUAGGCGCAAGUCAUCAGCUUGCGUCGAUUACGUCCCUGCCCUUUGUACACACCGCCCGUCGCUCCUACCGAUUGGGUGUGCUGGUGAAAUGUUCGGAUCGGCCGUUUGUCGCGGUUUCCGCGUCAUGUGGCUGAGAAGUUCAUUAAACCCUCCCACCUAGAGGAAGGAGAAGUCGUAACA